RNAcentral lists this long non-coding RNA (942 nucleotides) under Physcomitrium patens. Its description in RNAcentral is "long non-coding RNA (PPAT_LNC009146)". Lineage: Eukaryota; Viridiplantae; Streptophyta; Bryopsida; Funariales; Funariaceae. The record is from RNAcentral.
GUUGUUUAUAUUAGUUUUACUGUAUUCAUUCUUGCAUUGACAAAAUUGAUUUAUAUAACACAUUUAAGUUUGACAACAGCAUAACUACAUAUGUUGAUUUAUUAACUUUCUUCUAAGAGAACUCAUUAUUUUAAAUAUAACUUCAUGAUAUUAAAACAUAAUUACGUUUAAAUAUAAUAAAUGUAUGUGUGUUUUAUGAUAAUAGUGGCAUACACGGAUUUGGUUAUUUUGUAAUUGAUAGUUUUAAAAAUCACCCUAAGUUUUUAGUUUUCAAAUGUUGCUGCAGAAGAGAGUGAAUAAUUUAUCCCGGAGUUAUAUAUAUAUAUAUAUAUAUAUAUAUAUAUGUUUGUGUGUGUGUGUGUGCUAUCUAUUAAAAAUGGGUAAAUUACAUUUAUUUUAUACUUUCUUACAGAUUUAGUGUUUAAGUUUUAGAUAUGUAUUUUAUAAAAUCUUGUUUCUAUUUUAUCAACUUGAAUGCAAUGUAUAUUCAUGUACAGUUGUAUAUAAAACUGAAGGUCAUGUAAUGAUGUUUAUGUUGUUUUGAGGUUCUUCUUUCAUUUUACCAAACUUUCAAAUUCUCAAAUCAUUGUUCAAAAUAAACUCAACGAUUAAAAAAAAACUUAGAAAUGCUACAUCUGGUUAACAAUCAAAAGAGUAUAAAAAUCUGAUCCAUCAAUACUUUAAACAUCCAGAAAUUUUGUGUAUGCCACUGAGUUAAUCUGAACGAUUGAAAAUAAAACAAGGCAAAAAAAUUAUUUAUUUUCAUUGUAAGGUUUCGAAUUUAUUCUUUGGUUUAAGCAUCACAAUAGAAUAAUACAAAACAACAUAUGCACCUUGGAAUCAAAUGAAGCUAACGAUUUUUUUAUUCAUUACUUUUCGAAUUAGUCUGCUUCAUCAUCAACAUUUUAAUGGGUUGAAACAAACCCACACUCCAUCCAUCGU